RNAcentral lists this ribosomal RNA (893 nucleotides) under uncultured bacterium. RNAcentral's name for it is "bacterial SSU rRNA". It matches the Rfam family "Bacterial small subunit ribosomal RNA", at positions 8 to 916 of the family's 1533-position model. The record is from RNAcentral.
AGAGUUUGAUCCUGGCUCAGGACGAACGCUGGCGGCGUGCUUAACACAUGCAAGUCGAACGGUAAGGCCCUUUCGGGGGUACACGAGUGGCGAACGGGUGAGUAACACGUGGGUAAUCUGCCCUGCACUUCGGGAUAAGCCUGGGAAACCGGGUCUAAUACCGGAUAUGAGCUCCUGCCGCAUGGUGGGGGUUGGAAAGUUUUUCGGUGCAGGAUGAGUCCGCGGCCUAUCAGCUUGUUGGUGGGGUAAUGGCCUACCAAGGCGACGACGGGUAGCCGGCCUGAGAGGGUGAUCGGCCACACUGGGACUGAGACACGGCCCAGACUCCUACGGGAGGCAGCAGUGGGGAAUAUUGCACAAUGGGCGAAAGCCUGAUGCAGCGACGCCGCGUGGGGGAUGACGGUCUUCGGAUUGUAAACUCCUUUCAGUAGGGACGAAGCGAAAGUGACGGUACCUGCAGAAGAAGCACCGGCCAACUACGUGCCAGCAGCCGCGGUAAUACGUAGGGUGCAAGCGUUGUCCGGAAUUACUGGGCGUAAAGAGCUCGUAGGCGGUUUGUCACGUCGUCUGUGAAAUCCUCCAGCUCAACUGGGGGCGUGCAGGCGAUACGGGCAGACUUGAGUACUACAGGGGAGACUGGAAUUCCUGGUGUAGCGGUGAAAUGCGCAGAUAUCAGGAGGAACACCGGUGGCGAAGGCGGGUCUCUGGGUAGUAACUGACGCUGAGGAGCGAAAGCAUGGGGAGCAAACAGGAUUAGAUACCCUGGUAGUCCAUGCCGUAAACGGUGGGCGCUAGGUGUGGGGUCCUUCCACGGAUUCCGUGCCGUAGCUAACGCAUUAAGCGCCCCGCCUGGGGAGUACGGCCGCAAGGCUAAAACUCAAAUGAAUUGACGG